RNAcentral lists this ribosomal RNA (508 nucleotides) under uncultured bacterium. Its description in RNAcentral is "partial 16S ribosomal RNA". It matches the Rfam family "Bacterial small subunit ribosomal RNA", at positions 28 to 507 of the family's 1533-position model. The record is from RNAcentral.
GACGAACGCUGGCGGCGUGCCUAAUACAUGCAAGUCGAACGCUUCUUUCCUCCCCAGUGCUUGCACUCAAUUGGAAAGAGGAGUGGCGGACGGGUGAGUAACACGUGGGUAACCUACCCAUCAGAGGGGGAUAACACUUGGAAACAGGUGCUAAUACCUCAUAACAGUUUAUGCCGCAUGGCAUAAGAGUGAAAGGCGCUUUCGUGUGUCGCUGCUGGAUGGACCCGCGGUGCAUUAGCUAGUUGGUGAGGUAACGGCUCACCAAGGCCACGAUGCAUAGCCGACCUGAGAGGGUGAUCGGCCACACUGGGACUGAGACACGGCCCAGACUCCUACGGGAGGCAGCAGUAGGGAAUCUUCGGCGAUGGACGAAAGUGUGACCGAGCAACGCCGCGUGAGUGAAGAAGGUGUUCGGAUCGUAAAACUCUGUUGUUAGAGAAGAACAAGGACGUUAGUAACUGAACGUCCCCUGACGGUAUCUAACCAGAAAGCCACGGCUAACUACGUG